This 12451-nucleotide long non-coding RNA is filed under the name Olea europaea subsp. europaea. The record is from RNAcentral. Lineage: Eukaryota; Viridiplantae; Streptophyta; Magnoliopsida; Lamiales; Oleaceae.
AUUAAAUGCCUGGGCCUCUAAAUUUUCAGGGCCGGCGGCCGGCCUUGCUUGCCAUUGAUGGACUUACGUAUUCUCUUCUUCCCAUUUUAUAGUCUCCUAGAAGGAAAAAAUUCGAGAAACCCAGUUGUCCUAAUCAUAUUAUCAUGUCUUCGUUCUUUGCUCCCUCACGACUGAUGAUGAGGAAUGGGGCUUCAUUUGCAUUGUGAUUAUAUUCAACAUGCUUAGGUACUUUAGAACAACGUUUGAGAAUGAAGUUGAGCUCGUUUUGGAUUCUGUUUGCAAAAUAUACUAGAAUUUUCAGGCAACUGUUAAUUGCAUUUUCGAGUGUCGAUCCAAAAGAUGGAUGAAAUUGGAAUCUUGCAAAAAUUCUGAGCUUCUCUUGUGUAUUAUUGUUCAGCGAUUUACACUUCUACGGUUACCCUUUCGAUUUUCUAUUCUUGUUUUUAUUGAAUUUUCCAUGUGUGUUCGAUUUUUUUGCUGGUGUUUAACGUUAACAAAUUUUAACUCGAAUUCUUUCGAUUUUCUUUGUUUUUUGUUCAAAAAUCCCAUGUGUGCUCGAUUUUGUCGUUGCGUUUAAGGUUAAGCAAAUUUGUUUGAGAUAUUUUGUUUUUCUUCAUUUUUUGUCUUCUCGUCUAUAUGUUUGUUCUAUUUCUUCUACUUUUAUUUCUAUUUGCUUGAUUACAUUUUUGCGUUUAGGUUUUACCAAUUUCGAGUGACAUUUUUUGUUACAUUCAGUUCUGGCCUCUUAUUUCUUGUGUGUUCUGCUUUGGUUACUUUUAAUUGGGCUCUAUUGUAGCUAAUUUUUUUACAAGGUCAGCAAAAAUUAGAAAUAGGAAACGACGUUGGUUUCUUUUUUGUAGUUUAAUAUGGUCUUUUCCUUGAUCUAUCUUCAUAACUAAAACUAUGUAUAUGAAGGUUUGCAUAUGCCUUCUUGCUAUUUGUAGUGGAAGUUUGCUGUCUUUCUCUGUAUUUUACUGAUCUUAACAUUCAUGGAGGCUUCAAUGUAGGGCUUUUUUGUUUACCAUUAUUUUGAGCUUUGAUGUGUGUCUAGGAUUUUACUUUGCCUAUAUUGUAUAUCAGGACUUUAAUAUCCAUUUGGGCCUGUCGAAUCUUACUUGCAUUCAUUUGUUUGGCUUGAAGUUUCACUAUUGAACAUCACUUAGAACUUUCUCGCUUACAAUUUAAAGUGGAAGCUGGUAAUUUGGUUGAUAGUAUGUGGCUUAACAUAUCUUGAUAGUCUUUGUCAAGCUAUAGAAAUUUGAAACUGGGUUAAGUAGAAAUUAUUGGAUAGUCUGAUAAAUCGAUGAAAUUUUAUUAGAGCAAUUUCAUUUUUCCAUUUAGGGUACUAAUAUGAUAUAAGUUCUUUAUUUAGAACUUCUGUAAGGCCUUUAUACACUUCUCUUUUGUUGUACGAAAUGAUGAUACUAAAAAUAAUGGAGAUUUUUUUGAAGUUCACUUUAUCAUUUAAAAUGUUAUUAUUAUAUUUUGUAUUUUCCUUUAUCGUUUUGCCAAGUAACCCUUCAUAAUAGAAAAAUUUUCAUUCUUCCUCUACCCUUACGCACGUUCAACACUUUUCUCAGUUUACCAUUUAACUAUUUUGCAGUUUAGGUAUUCCAAAGAAGAAGGGAUUCCCGUGGGAGAAUUUCAAAAUCGGAAUUUCACAUAACUUCUGAGGUGAUUGUCUUUCAUUUUAUAUACUCUUUUCGUCAAAUUUGUUACAAAGUUAUGUCUUUUACAGUUAGACUAUUUAUAUUGGAUAUAAACAUAUUUCCUUUGCAUCUCAUCUCUGGAGUGUCUAUUUUUUUUCUUUGUUUCUGUGUUUAUAAUUUUGUGUUUGAGUUAUUCUGAAAUGAAGAAGCCAAAAAAUCAAACACAUAUAAUGUAUUUGUGACCUUAAGUAUGUUGAUUUCAUAUUAUAUUUACUGCUAAUUACUUUGUCAUGUCGGUUCGAUUUGCAUUUCUCUUUGUUCAGAUUUGGUUUAUUUUUUCGACUUAAUAUCAACCCGUCUGAUGAAUUAUUAUCAGUCAUUUGUCAAAAUCAAUUUCCUUCACUCUGUUAAGAAUAAUUAAAUUGAGUAAAAUAAACUAGUUAGCCAAUGAGGUUUAAAAGUUUGUAUCAAGGAAAAUAUUCUCAAAUCUUUUUUGUGAAACUUAUAGAAAUAUACCUCCAUUCGUGUUGUCUACUCCAUUAAGGAAGUAGCUUGGAAUUACAAAAUGGUAAAAAGAAAAAGAAAUUAUGUUUUUAUGAUCAAAGUGCUAUGAUUGCUUUGUAGGUGCGUCUAUUUUAUACUAUUGAAUCUAUAACUUAUGAAAAGAUUUAGGUCAUUACAUGAACAUAUCUAUGGUGGGAUGUUGAAUUCAUCAAAGAUAUUUUCGAGAAGUAUUGAUCUAUAGUUGAUUUAACUAUUCUUGUUUAAAGAUCAUAAGGCAUUUGAGAGCAUAAGGGUUAAGUAAUACAUUUAGGUGCCUACCAAAUUCUAUUGGAUGACUAUUUUUCAUAUGGAGGUUAGAUUGUGCAUAUGAAUAUGCAAUUAUCAUCUUAAUAUUUUAUGGGUCCAUGUUUUACCCUUCAAAAGGAAAAUAUUGUUGUAUUUUUUCUGAGGAAUUGAUGAAUUUUUUAUUUAUUUAUUUUUUUGUUUUAUAUGAUUGAAACAUCUAGGAUCCUGAAACAAAAAAAAAGCCUCGAGUGAAGAUUUACGUUGACAAAGAAAUUGGAAGGAAAAAGGGAGAUGCACUUGUAACAUAUCUGAAGGUAAUGCUUUUUGCUCAAAGUGCUUGGAGUAACAUGUAUCGUUGGAAUGUUUUCAUCUUUGAUUGUUUUGUCUUCAAUGAUGUUAUUGUGGAUUGAGGUCAUUGUUGUUGUGUUAUUAUUGUUGUUAUUAUUAAUAUUAUUGUUAUUUUACUAGGCAUUAGGAACCUUCAGUGGACCUGUCCAUCCAAAUAACGGAUGGAGCUCCUCUAAGGCCUGGUGGCUAGAUCCCAAUGUCAGUUACAAAAGCUAAGUUUGCGCAAAAAGGUAACGUGUGGAAUGCAUUGUUCAUUUUCUGCAUUUGUUUCUGGAUAUUAAUUCCAUUGCCUAUGUUCAUUUCGUUGUACGAAUUGAAUAUUUUAAAAUUUAACUUCUCUUUUGGUGUUAAUUAACCUCCAGGGGAUAAAUUCAUGUAAAACAAGUGGACAAGAAUAAGAAGAAACUUUAGAAGAUUGAAAGGAAAAUGUUACGUUGGGUGAGUCCUUUUCUCACAAAAGAUUAAAUUUUUAUUAUGUAGGGUUUGAUCCCCAAUAUGAAAAUAUAGGUAUGUUGAUUUGAGUUUUAAGUGUUCAUUCUAUUUUUGAUUUCAUUAAUACAAUUUUCUAAAAGGUCAAGUUAAAUUGGAUUCUUUUUUGUUUUAUUUUUUGUCCAUACAUUGUAAAAAAAGGUGAAACAAAACCCUUGGUAAAUUCAAUCGACGAUUAUAGCUGUGUCUUCAUCCUAUUGCGAUUUUGCGGCGGCUUUUUGUAUAUGUUGCUGUGAUUUGCUCAUUUGCAGUAGCCUUUGUACAUCUUGCUGCAAAUUCUGAUGGUUAUAUCUUUAAAUUGUGAAGUAUGUCUAUUUAGAAUUUUCCUCCAGUCUAUAAUUUUUUUUCAAAAAAUUUUAGUACAAAUAAAUUCAGAAGGCUGAGAUAUAAUCCUAAAACCUUCAUUCUUGAGUAUCUUUCUUCCACUAUCUUCAACCUUAUUGCUUUUCUAUUUGAUUUAUUUAGUGGGAAUUUUGAGAGAUCCUUUUUGUUUUCUUUCAACCUUAUUGCUUCGUUUCAGACGCUUCUCAAGUAUUGUCAAGCAGAAAUUUUGACGAUUGGGAUUACUGUUCCUGGGUCAAGUUUCUUGCGAUUUAGGUUCUCGGGUGGUGGAAUUUAAUAUUGUUGGUGAGGUCAUUCUUCUUCUUCUACUAGAAUUUAUAGAUUUCUAUUCUAUGGGUUUCAAAUUAGAAGGUUUUUUUUGUUUGGGUAAAAAUGAGGGUGUUUUGGUGACAGAUUUUUAAGAUUAUUCCUAUUCAUGUUAGCAUUCGUAUAAGUCACCGUUUGUUUCCGGUACAAAGUUUAUGGCCCUGCAGAAAUAAAAGGUAGCGAUAUUGAUUGGAUGGAGUUAACUUUGCAAUAAAAAAAUCCAAGCAAAUAGAAUUUGGCCAAUUUGGAAAACCAGCAUCCAUUUAAUCAUCACUUACGUAAAAAAAGUUCGGCACUUAAUAAAACAUUUUACAAUAAUUUUUGCUCUAAAAGAUGUAUCAAAUAAAUGAUUUUAUAUGUAACAAGCUACCAAGAAAUGUCACUGUAAACAUAAACAUAGAUUAAUUGUAAAGAUUUCAUCAACUUAGUUGAAUGAGCAUGUAUUGAGAAGACAGGAGAAGACAGAAGAAGAAAUCUAGGAAAUAGAUGUCAUGAUCCUUAUGCAAGCAUGCUUGUAUUCAAGCUAGAAAAAGCCAUCGAAUAUAUUAAAAAAAAAACAAAAACUUAGGGCUUGUUUGAGCCCCAUUGUUUUCAAAAAUGCAUUUUGAAAUAGUAUUAUGAUAGAAAGUGUGUGGUUAAAAAAUAAGAAAAAGAUUUAGAUUUUCAUGUAAUAUUAUUAAAAAAUAUGUGGUUGAUAUAGAGUCAAAUAACUAUUGAAGAAUGUAUUUUGAUAGAAAAAUGGGGAUUAAACACAAGCUUACUUUAUUAUUUUAAAAUAAGCAUGCAGGAUACAAAUGCGCAUUAUGUUGAUAGACGGCAUGUUCAAUAGGAUUUUGAACUCAAUCCUAUACCAGGAAACUAAGAAUUUGUAAUGUGCUACAGAUUGCGGAAUUUUAGGAUAAUGAAAGAUGGAUUGAUAAAUUGUUUUCGCUGGCUAUAUGUUGGCUAGAUUUCCUUUUACACGCAUAUAAAGUGUCACCUCCAAAUCCACAUAUGCAGAAUCCUCCCUACUUAAUCUGUGCAUAUACACUUUGUUACUUAGACUUGGCCGGAAGUGUCGGAUAAAAUCAAUUGUUGAACAUGGGUACUCUUUUUCUUCUUUGGGUUUUCAAAAUCAUUCUGUAAAUUAUUCAUGAUCUCUCUUUCUUAGUUUCAAGCUAGCUUGAUGAUGAUGAAUGAAAGUACCCGAUGAUUGGAAGUCGGUAAGAAAUUCCUCUUUCAUACCUUCAAAUAGGCAUGUUUUUAUUUGGAUACAUUGAUAUAUUUUCAUAUAGACAAACACAUAAAGCACAAAGGGAAUAUAAAGAACAAAGAGAAAUUCUACCCACAACUAAAGGAAACUUUUGCACAAACAUCUAGAUACAUGAACGAUAUGGUUCUCUGACAUUUGUGUACGUUGGCAUAAAUAUGAAUGUCAUCAAGGCAAUUACUCAAAUAUUUAUGUGCUAAUUAUCAUUAGUGCAUUUGUUCAUAUUCUGUUAAUAUUUGAUUGCACUGGCAUUGAGGAUUUGUUUCUCAAUUAAGUUAAUCAGAAUGAGGAUAUAUAAUACCUUGUUCUUAAUCAUGAUGCCGCCUAAAUUUUUAACCGGAAAUGGUGAGAGUUAGUGUCUUCAAUAACGCUCUUAAGAGCAUGUACAAUGCAGAGAAGCUAGGGAAGUGUCAGGUCAUGAUUCAACCAUCCUCCAAAGUCAUUAUUAAGUUUCUCUUCAUGAUGCAAAAGCAUGGUAUACAAAACAUUGUGUGGUGUUAAUUUGUUGUCUAUUUACGCAUGCAAUAUUCUAUCUAUACACUUAAUUCUUUAUCAUGUCUGUAGGAUACAUUGGAGAGUUUAAGUACAUCAAUGAUCACUGAUCUGGUAAAAUUGUGGUUGAACAAAUGUAGAGUCAUCAGCCCUGACUUUGACGUUGCUAUCCAGGAAAUUGAGGAAUGGAAUGCAAGGUUGCUUCCCUUCUGGCAGGUAAUAUAUAAAAAAACAUUGUACAUUAACAUUUGGAUGAUGAUCACUUGGUGAAUAUUGAGCUAUCAACCUGGCCAUAUGAUAAUAUAUAUGUUUUGCACAUGCACCUUUUAUUUCAUGGAAUAGUAUUAUCAAGGAGACUCUAUCUCUUAUUCAAACUUUUAUUAAGGUAUCUUCAAUUAGCAUGUCAAUCGGAUAUCUCCAUUCUUAAAUAGCUUCACAUCUUCCUAUCGUAAAAUGUGAUUAUUAUGUUUGGUUGUACCCUCAUUUCAUUCGUCUUUUCCCCAGUAGGUCGAGCAAAUUGUACUUUGUAUAGUAAUUAGACUUCAAAAAAAAUAUUAUCCUGCCUCAUCAGAUGUACAAUGGUAUGCUGCCAAUCCCAAGAGAAUGCUAAUUGCUGAAGUCCACAAAAUUAAAUUUCAUUUUUCUUACUUUCCUUCCUUCAAUAAAUAUCUUCUUUCAAUUGUUUUAAGCUCAUUUUACUUUUCAGUUUUGGAUACAUUUGUUGGCAUCAUGGAGCAUGAAGAGGCUAGGAGAAAGAAGGUUGAGGGGGAAAGUGUGCAAUCCCUGUGCAAACUAGUUUCUGAUGUAAUGUAAGUGAUCCCUACUUGAAUCAACAUAGUACUUAAAAGAAUUGAGGAAGUGUGUUCCAUGCACUGGUUGCUUGGAGCUUAAUCUUGAUUCUUUAAAUGCUAACUCUUCGUUUCUCGUUCCAUGCACUGGUUGCUUGGAGCUUAAUCUUGAUUCUUUAAAUGCUAACUCUUCGUUUCUCGUCUAAGCAUUUUAUCAAAUAGCUUGUGCGGGAUGAAGAAAUUAAUUUGACAAAGUGGCACUUAGAUGAUUGCUUUUAUUACCUUGACAAUUUUUCCAAGAUUACAACUUUUGUUGCAAGUCUUCAAGGUUAUUAAGUUCCAUUUGCCAUGUAAUAAAAACUAGGUUGUGUCGAAAUUAUUUCCUACUUAUAUGAUGUUUCACAAAAAAGUUGAGUAUCGAAUAAUUCUUAACUUUGUAGAAACGAGUACAUAAAAAAUGUUAUUUAAGAAGUCCCCUAAAAAAAAGGUGAAAAAAAAUCUAUUUCUAGAAACACUAAAAUUACCUUCGAAAUGACAAAGCUCGUGCAUGGCACGGGCAAUAAACUAGUAUAAAUAGAAGGGUGCAUGAUAUAGAAGAAGUUACUUAUUUUAAUGGUAGUCACUGUACAUAGUUUUUUUGAUAGCUUACAGCAUUUACAUAUUUCCAGAAUUCAAAAGAUAGCAAAAUAAUUAAACCAACUCUUUCAUCUGAAAACAAUAAGUUUUCUGGUUUCUUAACUAAAGACUCAAUAUUAAGUUACUACAGUACGACGAAUUUCGUGUAUUAAAAUACAAAAAUUGUUACAAAUUGUAUUUUGAUAAAAUACAAGUGAUUUGACCUUCAUGUAAUUGCAAAAUUGUAAAAAUCUUCUGAUAAAUGAUCUGAAUAUUUGAAGACGAGGGGUCACGUGGCUUGAAACCUAGUCUUCGAUAAUUUUUUGAAAAUUUGAUUUUUUGAGACUUGACCUAUUCAGCACUUAGAUUGCUUGGACUUGAACUUGGAUUUGAUUUGAUGUAAAGAAAACUUUGAUCUUCUUGAAUUUGGUGUGAACCUGUUUUGUUCAAAGAAGAUUUUGAUUUUCUUAGGGUUCAAAAGAUUUGGGUUUGAGAGGAUUUAUUCUCUUCCUUCGACGUUGAAAUUUUUUCAGUACUUCGUAAUUGUCUUCUAUGCUUUCACUUCUUCUUGAUUUUCUUCUCCCUCCUCCCCUUAUGGAUAAUUGGUCCUAUUUAUAGGGGAAUUUCCGUGCUAAUUUUGGUAAUACUAAAUUAUAUUUAAUUAAAAUGAAUAAUUGAGUAAUUUAUUAUUUUAUUUAUUUAUUUAAAAUGUGAUAUCGGCUUUUCGGUUUUAUGGACUAUAGUAGGCUUCAAUUUAAUUGGCAAAUGAUUUAAAUUGAUCCAAUCCAUUUUUUAAAAAUUUUUUUAUAUCAACAAAUGUCCCCUCAAGAUUUAUUUAUUUAUUAUGAAAUAAAUAAAUAAAUCAUAAUAAAUAAAUAAAUCUUGAUUUUCGAUUUUUUUUUCGCCUAUUUAUUUGAGUGAAUUAUGAGAUUUGAAAACAGGUUUGUUAAAUCUAGCAAACAGAGGUAAAUAAAUGUUUUUCCUUCCCCUCCCCCCUCCCUCUUGUUUGUAUUUUUUUUAUCCUUCUCUUGGUUUCAUCGUUGACCCUUUAUUAUUUUUUUAAUAUUUCUCGAUUUCUGCAGCCAGCGGAAAAAAAAUGGCGGCGGAAACCAUUGAUUUGGAAUUGGUUUAGGAAUUGGAAUUAUUAUCUCCUUUGUAUAUUUUUAUUUUUAAAUUUUUUUUAAUUAUUAAUUAGCUUUCUUGGUUUCUGUAAAACCAAACAAUUGUGGGCAGAAACCAAAAAACCAUGGUUUCUACCAAAUUUUUUUUCUUCUUUUUCCCCUUUAUUUAUUUUUUCAAUUUCUUUCUUUUUAUUUCUUUUUAGUUCUUUUCUUCUUCAUUUUUUUUUAUAGAAUGUCUUUUUAUUUUGGGUUGAAUUUUGAUUUUUGUUUUAUUUUUUCUUAGUGUGGGUAUUUUAUUGAAGUCGAAACUAACAUUCUUCAUUUUUUUUUUCAAGAACUCAACUUUUGAAGUAAGCCGAGAAUUUUGAGGUUUGAGGGUUUUGUGUGUGUGUGUGGAAAUUAAAUUUUUGUGCUGCAACUACUUUAGAAGUUGGAAAAUAUAUGCUUAUGAACAAACUUAAAAUUACAAACCUUUUCAUAUGAAUUGAGGACCAAGGACUCUCACUUUUCACCAUCUAAUGCACUUUUUGUUUAGGACUAAGAAUCUGUUCCUUCGACUGUCCAAGACAUUUUGUGUUGAGGAACAAAGACUUGUUCGUUCGAUCAUCCAAUGCGCUUUAUGUUGAGGAUCAAGGAUUGGCUCCUUCGAUUGUCCAUGGCGUUGAGGACCAAGAACCAGCUUCUUCGACCAUUCAAGACAUUUUGUGUUGAGUACUAAGGACUUGCUUCUUCAACCGUCCGAGGGACUUUGUGUUGAGGACCGUCCAAGGCACUUUGUAUUUAGGACCAAGGGCUGGCUCCUUCGACUGUCCAAGGCACUUUGUGUUUGGGACAUUUACAUAUUUGGAAGGCUCGUAAUUUUAGAUGAUAAUGAAUUUAAGAGAUUUACUACCCCUUUUUAUUUGCUUUCUUUUUUCUUUUGCAUGAUAGGAAUAAGUUCCAAUGAUAAAGUAUACUCUAACAUACACGAAAUUAUUGAGCUUAAAAAUUAAGGCAAAAGUUAUUUGCGUUUCAAAGAUACCAAUUUGAAGUACCAUGCCUAGACUUGCCAACGAAUGAUCCUUCUCCUGACCUCCUGAGCCAUUGUUGGAGUUGUAUAUGCCUACCAUUAGUGAAUGUCACGAAAGUUUGGAUAUUGGCAAGUGCAACCACUUCCGCAGAGCAUGGAGUGCAUCCCAAAGGCUGAANUUGGUUGUACCCUCAUUUCAUUCGUCUUUUCCCCAAUAGGCCAAGCAAAUUAUACUUUGUGUAAUAAUUAGACUUCAAAAAAUAUUAUCCUGCCUCAUUAGAUGUACAAUGGUAUGUUGCCAAUCCCAAGAGAAUGCUAACUGCUGAAGUCCACAAAAUUAAAUUUCAUUUUUCUUACUUUCCUUCCUUCAAUACAUAUCUUUUUUCAAUUGUUUUAAGCUCAUUUUACUUUUCAGUUUUUGAUACAUUGUGCUGAUUACAUCUGCUGGCAUCAUUGACCAUGAAGAGGCUAGGAGAAAGAAUGUUGGGGGAAAAAAAGUGCGCAAUCCCUGCGCACAUUAGUUUAUGAUGUAAUGUAAGUGAUCCUUACUUGAAUCAACAUAGAACUUAGAAUUGAGGAAGGGUGUUCCAUGCACUGGUUGCUUGGAGCUAAAUCUUGAUUCUUUAAAUACUAACUCUUCGUUUCUUGUCUAAGCAUUUUAUCAAAGAGCUUGUGCAGGAUAAAGAAAUUAAUUUGACAAAGUCACUUUGGCGAUUGCUUUUAUUACCUUGAUGAUUUUUGUUAUCCAAGAUUACAACUUCUGUUGCAAGUCUUCAAGGUUAUUAGGUUCAAUUUGCCAUGUAAUAAAAAUUAGGUCGUUUCGAAAUUAUUUCCUACUUUCAUAUGUUUGAUAAAAAGGUUGAGUAUCGAAUAAUUCUUUAACUUUGCGUAAGCGAGUACAUAAAAAAUGUUAUAUUAUGCACCAAAGAUUUAAGAAGUCACCAAAAAAAAAAAAAAGUGGAAAAAAUUUUAUAUAUUCUAGGAACACUAACAUUACCUUCGAAAUAACAAAGCGCGUGCAUGGCAUGGGCAAUAGAUUAGUAGUACAAUAAAGAGACCUUAACUAAUUACAAUACAAUAUCUUUAUUUUAAAUAGAAUACUACUUUUGGAGAUAAUAUAGCUCACUACACUAGAUAAAGAAAUACAAUAUAAUGAUAUAUACAAUUGGAAAAUAUCAUUUUCUUAUAUAUAUAGAAAGUGAAGAAAAAUAUAAAAAAAUAAAAACCAUUAUCAUCUCACCUACACUUAUUUCAGUUUGGACCGAGGCAUAGAUGAUAGAUAUACAUAUUAUGUGAUUAAUUGUCGCCUCAUAGAUCCCUCGCGAGAUGUUAGCCAUGGUUAACUUCUGUUCAUAGGGUUAAUCUCUAAUCUUUUGUCUUGAAGGGUAGCUUAAAUUACUUAAUGCUAGGUAGCAAAAACCUUAAAAAAAAGGUCUCCCAACCGUUUUGUGCCAGCAUUUAGUGCUAAAUGUGUAAAUUACCCUAUUCUUUAUUCUCUCCAAAUUCUUACAGAUCAACUCUAAUUAACGUGAGCCCAUUUUUCCUUUCUUUUUGUACAUAAAAUGCAGGAGGAUACUAUUAAGUGGUUCCCCGGGUAUAACUGGAAAGAGGGGAAUGGAAUCCAAGAUGAAGUUUAAGAGAGAUUCACUUAUAGAGAUGAAGAAAGGAUAAGAGAACAAAAAUAGAGUUACAAUUUAAUCAGAAUUUUAAAAUAGAUUUGAUCAGAUCGUAGAAGUAUUUCGAUAAUGUUCUAAUUUAGUAGAAGUUCAUUGGACUUGAUAAUAGAUGAUUUAUUCAUUGUAAUAUUCAACCCGUAAUUAUAUGAAUAGUCUUCAAUUAUUCAACCAAUUAAGCUUGUCUCAUAUGAAAAAUCGAGAAACACCACCAACUCAAAAUCAUAUAAAAAGACAGCAUAAUUUGGCCCUAUUAGAGUUAAAGAACUGCACAUAGAGAAUCAGAUAUGGCAUAUGCUUUGUACCUUGAAAAGUCAUCAACCAAGUUGGCCCGGAGAGUCAGUGUCGGCAAUAUCAUCAAAAAGUAAAAAAAAAAAAAAAAAAAAAAGGAAAAGUGCGUCAGAUAAUUAUUUCACUCCAUUGAAUUGCUAGUGAAGAAUAAUUACGUAGACCAAGUUAUACUGUUCAAUGGAAGUUUCAGGAAGGCAUAUAAUAGCAGCAGUUGCAAUAUCAGGAUGCAGCUUAAUCUUGGUGUCAUAUCUACGGCAGAAAAUUCUCCGGUUCUGUCCCAACCACUCUCAUGGAAAGUCGACCAUGAUUGCAGACAGAGAGAGACAUGUUUCCUCUACCAAAAAUGAAUGCUCAGCAACAGGUAUCUCCAAACCAAGACAAUAAUAUUAGAUGGGAAAUGCUACUUGUAUACGCUGGUUUACCACCUCGUUUACAGAAUACUGAGUUGACAAGAUUUUUCGGACAAAAAGACGAGGUUUAAAUAGCAUGUAAAAUCUUGCUACCUCAGCACCUGUAACUACUUCUGAUAAAAAAAAAUAUGUAAAAGUAGCAUUUUCCAUAUUAGAUUGAGCCUUUCAAUUUUCCUUUUGUGUGUAUAUGUCUUGGAUGAUCAUGUAUGGGGAGUGUAGUGAUUAGGCCUAGACGACUAUUUAUUGUUACACGUCACAAAGAUUAGCAUUGCAUAAUUUUGCAAACAUAAAUCACAUACGACGAGAUUCAAAUAUUCGCUGUAAUUCAUUAAAAUCGAAGCUAUGAAAUUGAUUUCACCAUAAUUUUUGGUUCCUUGCAUUGACGUUCAAACUUUACAGGUAAAGUUCGAAAACAAGGUUGGUUCUCGGCUAUAAAAGACGCACCAAGUGACGAUAAAUUACUGAGGAAAAGAAGUCACAUUUAGAGACACAGGAUACAAUCUGGAGUCGAGAAAAGAAAGGAAGGAUGAAUCUGCCUGAAAAUUGGAACAAUUUGUAUAAUGGGAUUAAUAGUUACCGAUCUCAGCAGGCUAUUUUAAUGAUGUAUGCUUAAGCGAAAGUAGUAAGUCCUUUGGUUUUAUAUAUAAAAGAACCCUACGCGCUCAAAUAGUCCUAUUACAUAUCUAAACUUCGUCUUAGAGAAAAUCCUAUGAUUAUAUUUCAUCAGAUGAUCAAAUACGGACAUGCUCGUCGCGCAGUGAUGGAUUGAAUGGAUGAUGAAAAGAAUUUAUAUAAAUGACUCUAAAUUCAUUAAGAAAUAAGGAUUUGUUUUGAUUUUCCGAGGUUCAAUCAGUUGAAUAUGUAUGGAAAUUGUAAGAAG